Molecule: ribosomal RNA, 501 nt
Filed under: uncultured bacterium
Lineage: Bacteria
Description: partial 16S ribosomal RNA
Rfam family: Bacterial small subunit ribosomal RNA
Source: RNAcentral
AUUGAACGCUGGCGGCAGGCUUAACACAUGCAAGUCGAGCGGGGAAGGGUAGCUUGCUACCUGACCUAGCGGCGGACGGGUGAGUAAUGCUUAGGAAUCUGCCUAUUAGUGGGGGACAACAUUCCGAAAGGAAUGCUAAUACCGCAUACGCCCUACGGGGGAAAGCAGGGGAUCUUCGGACCUUGCGCUAAUAGAUGAGCCUAAGUUGGAUUAGCGAGUUGGUGGGGUAAAGGCCUACCAAGGCGACGAUCUGUAGCGGGUCUGAGAGGAUGAUCAGCCACACUGGGACUGAGACACGGCGCAGACUCCUACGGGAGGCAGCAGUGGGGAAUAUUGGACAAUGGGCGGAAGCCUGAUCCAGCCAUGCCGCGUGUGUGAAGAAGGCUUUUUGGUUGUAAAGCACUUUAAGCGAGGAGGAGGCUACCUGGAUUAAUACUCUGGGAUAGUGGACGUUACUCGCAGAAUAAGCACCGGCUAACUCUGUGCCAGCCGCCGCGGUAA